CGGAGGAAAAGAAACUAACAAGGAUUCCCCUAGUAACUGCGAGUGAAGCGGGAAAAGCUCAAAUUUGAAAUCUGGCGGUUCUUGGACCCGUCCGAGUUGUAAUCUAGAGAAGUGUUACCUGUGCUGGACCGUGUACAAGUCUCCUGGAAUGGAGCAUCACAGAGGGUGAGAAUCCCGUCUUUGACACGGACUACCUGUACGAUAUGGUGCGCUCUCGAAGAGUCGAGUUGUUUGGGAAUGCAGCUCAAAAUGGGUGGUAAAUGCCAUCUAAAGCUAAAUAUUGGCGAGAGACCGAUAGCGAACAAGUACCGUGAGGGAAAGAUGAAAAGAACUUUGGAAAGAGAGUUAAACAGUACGUGAAAUUGCUGAAAGGGAAACGCUUGAAGUCAGUCACGUCGGCUGGGAAUCAGCCUUGCUUUUGCUUGGUGUACUUUCUGGUUGUCGGGUCAGCAUCAAUUUUGACCAUCGGAUAAGGUCAUUGGGAAUGUGGCAUCUUAGGAUGUGUUAUAGCCCGUUGUCGCAUACGGUGGUCGGGAUUGAGGAACUCAGCACGCCGCGAGGCCGGGUCUUUUGACCACGUUCAUGCUUAGGAUGCUGGCAUAAUGGCUUUAAUCGACCCGUCUUGAAACACGGGACCAAGGAGUCUAACAUGCCUG
Molecule: ribosomal RNA, 656 nt
Filed under: cf. Inocybe sp. EC325 B345
Lineage: Eukaryota; Fungi; Basidiomycota; Agaricomycetes; Agaricales; Cortinariaceae
Description: eukaryotic LSU rRNA
Rfam family: Eukaryotic large subunit ribosomal RNA
Source: RNAcentral